GAAAGUAAACAAGGGCGCAUGGAGGAUGCCUAGGCUCUCGGAGGCGAAGAAGGACGUGAUAAGCUGCGAAAAGUUACGGUAAGGCGCAAAUAGCCCUAGACCCGUAAAUAUCCGAAUGGGGCAACCCGGCCAGCAAUGGCCAUACCGCCAAGCGGUAAGCCAACGCGGGGAACUGAAACAUCUAAGUACCCGCAGGAAAAGAAAAUAACAAUGAUUCCGCCAGUAGUGGCGAGCGAACGCGGAACAGCCCAAACCACCCGUGUUACGGCACGAGUGGGGUAGAAGGAUCCACGCUACGGCAAGAAAUAAGUUAGCAGAAUACGAUGGAAAUCGUAGCCAAAGACGGUGACAGCCCGGUACGCGAAAACGGACAGAAGCCCAGUGGACACCUGAGUAACCCAGGACACGAGAAAUCCGGGGCGAAUCAGCGGGGCCCAUCCCGUAAGGCUAAAUACUCCCGAGAGACCGAUAGCGAACCAGUACUGUGAAGGAAAGGUGAAAAGAACCUCGAACAGAGGAGUGAAACAGACCCUGAAACCAUGCGCCUACAAGCGGUCGGAGCAUGUUAAAAUGUGACGGCGUGCCUUUUGCAUAAUGAACCUACGAGUUACUCUCGCUGGCAAGGUUAAGCGAUUCAGUCGCGCAGCCGAAGCGAAAGCAAGUCCGAACAAGGCGUACAGUCAGCGGGAGUAGACGCGAAACCAAGUGAUCUACCCUUGGUCAGGUUGAAGGUUGGGUAACACCAACUGGAGGACCGCACCGAUAAGCGUUGAAAAGCUUACGGAUGAACUGAGGGUAGGAGUGAAAGGCCAAUCAAACUUGGAGAUAGCUCGUACUCCCCGAAAUGCAUUUAGGUGCAGCCUCGAAGUAAAGUGAUAGAGGUAGAGCGACUGAUAAGAUGCGAGGGCUUCACCGCCUAUCAAGUCUUGACAAACUCCGAAUACUAUCACUUGAUCUUCGGGAGUGAGGGCAUGGGUGCUAAGGUCCAUGUCCGAAAGAGGAACAACUCAGACCACCAGCUAAGGUCCCGAAAUAAGGGCUAAGUUGAAUAAACGAAGUAAAACUGCAAAGACAGCUAGGAUGUUGGCUUGGAAGCAGCCAUUCAUUUAAAGAGUGCGUAACAGCUCACUAGUCGAGGAGUUUUGCAUGGAUAAUAAUCGGGCAUAAGCCCUUUACCGAAGCUGUGGAUGUCGUAAGACAUGGUAGGGGAGCAUUCCGGCGGCGACGAAGGCCGUCCUCGAGGACGACUGGAGCUUUCGGAAAAGCAAAUGUAGGUAUAAGUAACGAUAAAGGGGGCGUGAAACCCCCUCGCCAUAAGACUAAGGAUUCCUGAUCAACGCUAAUCGGAUCAGGGUAAGUCGGGCCCUAAGGCGCAGCCGAACGGCGUAGCCGAUGGAAGAAACGGUAAAGAUUCCGUUACUGGAUAUAGGAGCGAUGUGGAGACGGAGAAGUGACACACCCGCCUGCCGACGGAAGCGCAGGUUAAAGGAAGUAGGUAAACGCCGGGUAGGCAAAUCCGCCCAGCGUGCCGAAGCUGACAGUAUCGAGAGCCCCCGGGCAAUCGAAUAGCGGUGGUAAUCAGGCUCCCAAGAAAAUCCGCUAAGCAUAUUCUAUAUCCACCCGUACCCCAAACGGACACACGUAGUCGGGUAGAAUAUACCAAGGCGCUCGAAAGACUCACGGUUAAGGAACUAGGCAAAUUGACCCUGUAACCUCGGGAAAAAGGGUCCCCAGUAAGAUGGGGCGCAGAGAAUAGGUCCAGGCAACUGUUUAACAAAAACACAGGGCUGUGCGAAAUUUCAAGAUGAAGUAUACAGCCUGACACCUGCCCGGUGCCGGAAGGUUAAGAGGAGAGCUUAUCGCAAGAGAAGGCUUGAAUUGAAGCCCCGGUAAACGGCGGCCGUAACUAUAACGGUCCUAAGGUAGCGAAAUUCCUUGUCGG
RNAcentral lists this ribosomal RNA (1942 nucleotides) under human gut metagenome. RNAcentral's name for it is "bacterial LSU rRNA". It matches the Rfam family "Bacterial large subunit ribosomal RNA", at positions 1 to 1975 of the family's 2925-position model. The record is from RNAcentral.